GACGAACCGUGCGAACGUUGUUCGGAAUCACUGGGCUUAAAGGGCGCGUAGGCGGUCCACAAGUCAGGGGUGAAAUCUUUCAGCUUAACUGGAAAACAGCUUUUGAUACUGGUGGACUCGAGCGAGGUAGGGGCAGAUGGAACUCUGGGUGGAGCGGUGAAAUGUGUAGAUAUCCAGAGGAACGCCGGUGGCGAAAGCGAUCUGCUGGACCUCUUCUGACGCUGAGGCGCGAAAGCCAGGGGAGCAAACGGG
RNAcentral lists this ribosomal RNA (252 nucleotides) under uncultured bacterium. Its description in RNAcentral is "partial 16S ribosomal RNA". It matches the Rfam family "Bacterial small subunit ribosomal RNA", at positions 524 to 776 of the family's 1533-position model. The record is from RNAcentral.